ACGGAAAGACCCCGUGAACCUUUACUAUAGCUUGACACUGAACAUUGAAUUUUGAUGUGUAGGAUAGGUGGGAGACUGAGAAGCGAGCACGCUAGUGCUUGUGGAGUCGACGUUGAAAUACCACCCUUUAACGUUUGAUGUUCUAACGAGGCAUCGAUUACAGGUGUUCGGACAGUGUCUGGUGGGUAGUUUGACUGGGGCGGUCUCCUCCCAAAGGAUAACGGAGGAGCACGAAGGUUUGCUAAUCACGGUCGGACAUCGUGAGGUUAGUGCAAUGGUAUAAGCAAGCUUAACUGCGAGACGGACAGGUCGGGCAGGUACGAAAGUAGGUCAUAGUGAUCCGGUGGUUCUGCAUGGAAGGGCCAUCGCUCAACGGAUAAAAGGUACUCCGGGGAUAACAGGCUGAUACCGCCCAAGAGUUCAUAUCGACGGCGGUGUUUGGCACCUCGAUGUCGGCUCAUCACAUCCUGGGGCUGAAGUAGGUCCCAAGGGUAUGGCUGUUCGCCAUUUAAAGUGGUACGCGAGCUGGGUUUAGAACGUCGUGAGACAGUUCGGUCCCUAUCUGCCGUGGGCGUAGGAGAAUUGGUUGGGGCUGCUCCUAGUACGAGAGGACCGGAGUGGACGCACCGCUGGUGUUCCGGUUGUGUCGCCAGACGCAUAGCCGGGUAGCUAAGUGCGGGAGAGAUAAGUGCUGAAAGCAUCUAAGCACGAAACUUGCCAAGAGAUGAGUUCUCCCAGACUUUAGGUCUGUAAGGGUUGUUUAAGACGAAGACGUAGAUAGGCGUGGUGUGUAAGCGUAGUGAUAUGUUGAGCUAACACGUACUAAUUGCCCGAGGGACUUAGCCAUACAACGCUCAAG
RNAcentral lists this ribosomal RNA (859 nucleotides) under Aggregatibacter actinomycetemcomitans. Its description in RNAcentral is "partial 23S ribosomal RNA". It matches the Rfam family "Bacterial large subunit ribosomal RNA", at positions 2080 to 2925 of the family's 2925-position model. Lineage: Bacteria; Pseudomonadati; Pseudomonadota; Gammaproteobacteria; Pasteurellales; Pasteurellaceae. The record is from RNAcentral.